RNA transcript from Motacilla alba alba, 2223 nucleotides. It is a transcript of the gene named transmembrane protein 196, with no coding region annotated. The transcript is spliced from 5 exons. The record is from RefSeq and is a predicted model, not a curated record. Lineage: Eukaryota; Metazoa; Chordata; Aves; Passeriformes; Motacillidae.
CACCUGGGAGGAGGGAGGCCUGCGGACCCCCACUCCGAGCAGGGUCACCUCUCAAGCGUCCGCCUGCGGCUGGCAUCGGCUCCCGCGUCCCGCCGCCAGCCCUGCCGCCGCGGGACGGCGGAGGUGUGCGAGCGACGUGCCGGGGGAGGACCGGGGAAGGUGCCGAGCCUUGUGGCCCCGGGGCGGGGCUGCCGUGCGCUUUGCCCGUGCAUUGGGUCUGGAUUCAUACAUAAGUAUAGCCGGGCUGGGCUCGCCACACUCCUCUACCCCCCGCCCCCCAGCCCUGCAAGAGAAGGGGGAGAGAAACAAGAAGGGGGGGAAAAAAUCCCGGUGAGGUCAUUCCAAUGAGAGCGCAGGAGGAGAGCGGACAAGGUCGACUUUCCCGGCGGAGGCGCAGCCCUUAGGAGCGCGGAGCCGCGCACCCACCGCCGGCCCGGCACCUUGGAGAGCUCCGCCGCGCCGGGGCCGCGCUCGGGGCCGCGCCGGGGCCGCGCCCGGGGCCGCGCUCGGGGCCGCGCUCGGGGCCGGCGCGGCGCUGCCUGCGCGGGGCCCGGCGGCGCCGGGGCCGCCCCGCCGACCCUCGGUAGCGCCCGCCGGCCGCGGAUGCGCCGCUCCGCCCCGGCUGCCUGCGAAGGAAGAAAAGUUUGGGGGCGACUUAGGGCCGCGGGAGCGCCCGAGGAGGAGGAGGAGGAUGCGCGGUUUCCCCGGCUGAUCGGAAAGGAAGGAUGACCGAGGGAGGAUGUGCACCAGCAGCCAGAUCAUCGGGAGCCUCCUGGUGCUCUCCGUGCUGGAGAUAGGGUUAGGGGUGUCCAGCGUGGCCGUGGGGGCGGUCAGUUUCAGCCUGGUCCUCACAGAGCAUAAACCUCAGCUGGGAGACUCUUCUCCGGUAUGGAGCGGGUUCCUGCUUUGCGGCGUAUGUGGAAUAUUGUGUGCCAAAAAAAAAUCUGGACUUGUUAUGAUACUUUUUUCUGCCUGUUGCAUCUGUGGACUCAUAGGAGGAAUCUUAAAUUUUCAAUUUCUCCGUGCUCUGACAAAGAAGUCAUCUGCUCUCUAUUCUUUGCAUCUUGCCUCCAUGUCUCUUGCAUGCAUUGGAAUUGGUGGUUGCACCCUUUCUUCAUGGCUCACUUGUCGGCUAGCCAGCUAUGAACAAAGGCGAAUGUUCUCAGAAAGGGAACAUUCAUUGCAUCACUCCCAUGAAAUGGCAGAAAAAGUGAGUUGUGUGUCCUCCCGUAUUUGUUCUGCUUCUCCUGAAAUACUACUGAAGGGCCACCUCUACGAGGAAGUCAUAGCUUCAGCUAAUCAAAGUUGGCUGAUGCUGUGAUGUUACUCUGAGGCAGGAAUGGUGCUUCCAGGUAGUGACAUAACUCUACGUGGUGAACGCUGCAAUCCGGAAGAAAUGACAGACAACCUAAGCAAUGGUGGCCCACAUCUGAUUUAUAAUGGAAGUGUAUAUUAAGAAAUUUUUAAAAGUUCCAUGGAAGGAAGUGGCUUUAGAAUUUUCUUCAGGAAAAAAAAUAGACUCCAAGAAAUUAAGAAAAUGAAACAAUCUUAGCUGUUAUGGCUCAAAUGUCACAACUGCAGACCAGCACAGUUGCAAUUCCCUUUUAGAACCAUGUUCAAAAUUUGUCUCCUAAAUAUUUUGCGGAUAUACAAUAUUUAUUCACUUCCUGGCUACUCUCUUUCAGUUUUUUGUCUGAAUAAUCUUUCUGAAUUGUGAUAGUAUUUGAAAUAGACUUUGCAAGACUCUUAUGCUCAUGCAGACUCAAAAAUCAGAAAAAAAAUAAACUGAACUGUAUUUAGCCCACUCAAAGAAGGCAGAGGAAGAAUGGCUCAGGGGAAUCUUUUUCUCCUCUCCACUUAGCAGCAUCUGGUUUAAUAUGAUGGCUUCAGAUCAUGGCAUGGUACAGCAACACAUCUGCAUAGUCCCUCUCCUCACAUUUUGAAUGCAUCCUGCCUCAGUUUUCCCAGUAGAUCAUAUCAAAAGAGAGUGCAAACUCCUCUUCCAAAAAGCUCCCAUUUCACAUCCAGAGUGUAAAUGAACAGUGUGCUGAAAACAACACCGAUGUCUUUGUUUUGAAAGACAGAAUGCUCUAAGAAUGCCAUAAAUCAAAACCUCAAUAAUGCCUUGUUGUAAAGAAAUUGUAAAUAUUUCCAAUUUGUGAAUGAAGUAUAUUUCGUAAUUUGUUCAUAAAAGAUGACAAAUAAAAUGAAAUCUAAACCAGA